Bactrocera dorsalis (oriental fruit fly) is the source of this 1954-nucleotide RNA transcript. It is a transcript of the gene named ubiquitin-60S ribosomal protein L40, with no coding region annotated. The record is from RefSeq and is a predicted model, not a curated record. The transcript is spliced from 3 exons. NCBI's taxonomy places the organism in Eukaryota, Metazoa, Arthropoda, Insecta, Diptera, Tephritidae.
CUAGCAUUUCUCUACACGUUUCUGGAGAUAGACGGGCAAAAUGCAGAUUUUCGUCAAAACCUUAACUGGUAAGACCAUCACCUUAGAGGUCGAGCCUUCUGACACCAUCGAAAAUGUCAAAGCUAAAAUCCAAGACAAAGAGGGUAUCCCCCCAGAUCAACAGCGUUUGAUCUUCGCCGGAAAACAAUUGGAAGAUGGGCGCACCUUGUCCGACUACAACAUCCAAAAGGAGUCAACCCUCCAUUUGGUUCUGCGUCUUCGUGGUGGUAUCAUUGAACCUUCCUUGCGUAUCUUGGCACAAAAAUACAAUUGCGAUAAGGUAAUUUGCCGCAAGUGCUACGCUCGCCUGCACCCACGUGCAACAAACUGUCGCAAGAAGAAGUGCGGACACACCAACAACUUGCGCCCCAAGAAGAAGUUGAAGUAGACCACUGGAAUAUGGAAAGUUUCGACGUUUGCGGAGAGUGUUGGGGGAGAAAUGCAUACUAACAAACGCAUUCUCCUUUUAGUUUUUCUAUGUGUACAUCAGCUAUGUAUGAAUUGAAGUGAAAAUUUUACUUUGAAAUUUGCAAAAUAAAACAAAAACCAUAAUUUUUUUGUUUUUAUUCCGAUAGUUGGAGAAAACAUUUAUACAUAUUUGUUUAAGAAAAUCAUUAUAGUAUUAGCUAUGUGGAGAACACAUCUCAGCUCUAGAAAAAAAAUCAAUUUUGUUCAAUUGUGACAAGCUUUGACUAAGCCGCGUGUUGUAGGUCCGGUUGUUGUUUCCAACCAGUACUAAUGUUUCCCCAAAUAGUGGUCUGCUAAAAUAUUGACUCGUGCCAAACAAAACUAGUUCUGGGUGGCUAUUCCCAGAUAAUGUUCAAUGUUCACCUUGGCCUCUAUUUCCUGAUUUUGUUGUGCGCGAAUUCAUAACUCCGAAAUGGGAGAACAUAGACUCUUACUCAAAAAAUGCAAUAAUAGAGGCCUGAGGUUCGGCAAUACUCUGAAAAGAUGAGGAGGCUAUAGACGCAGGGUAAACCUUAUUUUUAAAUAUUUCUAUUUAAUAAUCUGGGUGACAAAUAUCCAUUUUGUAUAGUAUAUAUGUAUGUAUGUAUAUAGCUUUUAACUCCAAAACAAAAAAUUUAUAGAGUUAGUUCUACCCAUCUUCCAAGAAAAAUAAAAUUUUUAGUAUUUGGAAAUCGCUGUAAUACUUCCUCGGUUUUUCUCAAUGAGGAUAUUUCAUAUAAAUACUUUUAUCCCAAGAUCUUUAAUAUUUCGCCACAAAUGCGAAUAGUAACGCUGAAAAGCGUAUAUUAACUUUGCCAGGAAGCUUGUAGUACCCAGAAAGGAACGUCCGAAAACGACGAGCUGAAUCUAUUUAACCAUGUUCUAGUCUCUCAGUUAUUGAGAUAUCGAUCUGAUAUUGUACGCACGUCCUUUCUUCUCUAAGUAGCUUCUCAUUUGUAGCAACCGAUAUCGGAGUUCUAUAGCAUAUACAUAUGUACAUAAGUACAAGUAUGUAGUUGUCACAAAAACUGAUCGUUCAGAAUCCACUUGUACGCCAACAUAUACAUUAAUAUGAUUGUAUGUAUGAAAUAUCCGCAGGAUGACUAAUAUAUGGUACAUAUGUGCAUGUGUAUAAACAGGAGUAGCAUCCAACUUCUACACAAAAAGCCCGAGCUAUCUAUGACUAAUGCCCUGACACAUCGCAUCAAGCUUCUACAAUAAGUAAACAAUACCAUAAUAAGUAAUUUGCUACUUCACAAUUUAGUAAUCAAGCAGUUACACAAUCGCAGUGCAAUGGCGUUAGUCCUAUUUGAUCCGCCAUACUCAAUGUUCGAAUGACGGACAAUGCUUUCCGGUCUGUCUUUCAUGGCCGCCCAUUGACGGAAGCUAAAAUGUCGCUCCUAUGAUAUCCGCCUUAAAAGAAUUUGAUGACUUAAGCCAUAUUAGAACCCAGUUUUCGUGCUCAUUU